This 404-nucleotide ribosomal RNA is filed under the name uncultured Eubacteriales bacterium. RNAcentral's name for it is "uncultured Clostridiales bacterium partial 16S ribosomal RNA". It matches the Rfam family "Bacterial small subunit ribosomal RNA", at positions 355 to 774 of the family's 1533-position model. Lineage: Bacteria; Bacillati; Bacillota; Clostridia; Eubacteriales. The record is from RNAcentral.
UCGGGAAUAUUGCACAAUGGGGGAAACCCUGAUGCAGUGAUGCCGCGUAUAGGAAGAAGGUUUUCGGAUUGUAAACUAUUGUCGACAGGGAAGAUGAAAAGACGGUACCUGUGGAGGAAGCCCCGGCUAACUACGUGCCAGCAGCCGCGGUAAUACGUAGGGGGCGAGCGUUGUCCGGAAUUAUUGGGUGUAAAGGGUGCGUAGACGGGUUACUAAGUUAGUUGUGAAAUCCCCAGGCUCAACCUGGGAACUGCAACUAAAACUGGUAGUCUUGAGUAUGGGAGAGGAAAGUGGAAUUCCUAGUGUAGCGGUGAAAUGCGUAGAGAUUAGGAGGAACACCAGUGGCGAAGGCGACUUUCUGGACCAUAACUGACGUUGAGGCACGAAAGUGUGGGGAGCAAACA